CCUACGGGAGGCAGCAGUGAGGAAUAUUGGUCAAUGGGCGAGAGCCUGAACCAGCCAAGUCGCGUGAAGGAUGACGGCCCUACGGGGUGUAAACUUCUUUUGUCAGGGAGCAAUUGGGUCCACGCGUGGGCUUAGCGAGAGUACCUGAAGAAAAAGCAUCGGCUAACUCCGUGCCAGCAGCCGCGGUAAUACGGGAGAUGCGAGCGUUACCCGGAUAUAUUGGGUUUAAAGGGUGUGUGGGCGGAAUAUCAAGUCAGCGGUAAAAAUUCGGGUCACAACCCUGUCGUGCCGUUGAAACUGAUUUUCUGGAGUGGGCAAGACGUAUGAGGAAUGCGUGGUGUAGCGGUGAAAUGCAUAGAUAUCACGCAGAACUCCGAUUGCGAAGGCAGCAUACCGGUGCCCAACUGACGCUGAAGCACGAAAGCGUGGGUAUCGAACAGGAUUAGAUACCCCAGUAGUC
Molecule: ribosomal RNA, 460 nt
Filed under: uncultured bacterium
Lineage: Bacteria
Description: partial 16S ribosomal RNA
Rfam family: Bacterial small subunit ribosomal RNA
Source: RNAcentral